This 23-nucleotide non-coding RNA is filed under the name Cricetulus griseus (Chinese hamster). Lineage: Eukaryota; Metazoa; Chordata; Mammalia; Rodentia; Cricetidae. The record is from RNAcentral.
CCUUUGGGUUCCUGUGUACUUGC